RNAcentral lists this ribosomal RNA (253 nucleotides) under uncultured bacterium. RNAcentral's name for it is "partial 16S ribosomal RNA". It matches the Rfam family "Bacterial small subunit ribosomal RNA", at positions 524 to 776 of the family's 1533-position model. The record is from RNAcentral.
UACGUAGGUGGCAAGCGUUGUCCGGAUUUACUGGGCGUACAGAGCGCGCAGGCGGUCGUCCAAGUCGCGUGUGAAAGCCCCCGGCUCAACUGGGGAGGGUCACGCGAUACUGGUCGACUCGAAGGCAGGAGAGGGUAGUGGAAUUCCCGGUGUAGUGGUGAAAUGCGUAGAUAUCGGGAGGAACACCAGUGGCGAAGGCGACUACCUGGCCUGUUCUUGACGCUGAGGCGCGAAAGCUAGGGGAGCAAACGGG